RNAcentral lists this ribosomal RNA (538 nucleotides) under uncultured bacterium. RNAcentral describes it as "partial 16S ribosomal RNA". It matches the Rfam family "Bacterial small subunit ribosomal RNA", at positions 355 to 883 of the family's 1533-position model. The record is from RNAcentral.
UGGGGAAUUUUGGACAAUGGGCGAAAGCCUGAUCCAGCAAUGCCGCGUGUGUGAAGAAGGCCUUCGGGUUGUAAAGCACUUUUGUCCGGAAAGAAAUCCUUGGCUCUAAUACAGUCGGGGGAUGACGGUACCGGAAGAAUAAGCACCGGCUAACUACGUGCCAGCAGCCGCGGUAAUACGUAGGGUGCAAGCGUUAAUCGGAAUUACUGGGCGUAAAGCGUGCGCAGGCGGUUUGCUAAGACCGAUGUGAAAUCCCCGGGCUCAACCUGGGAACUGCAUUGGUGACUGGCAGGCUAGAGUAUGGCAGAGGGGGGUAGAAUUCCACGUGUAGCAGUGAAAUGCGUAGAGAUGUGGAGGAAUACCGAUGGCGAAGGCAGCCCCCUGGGCCAAUACUGACGCUCAUGCACGAAAAGCGUGGGGAGCAAAACAGGAUUAGAUACCCUGGUAGUCCCACGCCCUAAAACGAUGUCAACUAGUUGUUGGGGAUUCAUUCCUUAGUAACGUAGCUAACGCGUGAAGUUGACCGCCUGGGGAGUAC